RNAcentral lists this ribosomal RNA (148 nucleotides) under uncultured bacterium. RNAcentral describes it as "partial 16S ribosomal RNA". It matches the Rfam family "Bacterial small subunit ribosomal RNA", at positions 385 to 552 of the family's 1533-position model. The record is from RNAcentral.
GACCAGCGACGCCGCGUGCGGGAUGAAGGCCUUCGGGUUGUAAACCGCUUUUAGUAGGGAAGAAGCGAACGUGACGGUACCUACAAAAGAAGCACCGGCUAACUAUGUGCCAGCAGCCGCGAUAAUAGUGCCAGCAGCCGCGGUAAUA